UUGAGUUUGAUCCUGGCUCAGGACUAACGCUGGCGGCGUGCUUCAUACAUGCAAGUCGAACGAUGAGGCCCCUUCGGGGGUACAUCAGUGGCGGACGGGUGAGUAACGCGUAGAUAAUCUGCCCUUAGCUGGGGGAUAACACCGGGAAACCGGUGCUAAUACCGCAUAAGUGCCAGGCUGAAAUGCCUGUCAUUAAAGUUCCGGCGGCUAAGGAUGAGUCUGCGUCGGAUUAGCUAGUUGGUAGGGUAAAGGCCUACCAAGGCGAUGAUCCGUAGCUGGUCUGAGAGGAUGGCCAGCCACAAUGGGACUGAGACACGGCCCAUACUCCUACGGGAGGCAGCAGUAGGGAAUUUUGCGCAAUGGGCGAAAGCCUGACGCAGCAACGCCGCGUGGAGGAAGAAGUCCCUCGGGAUGUAAACUCCUGUCAGCAGGGAAGACACACGACGGUACCUGCAGAGGAAGCAUCGGCUAACUACGUGCCAGCAGCCGCGGUAAGACGUAGGAUGCAAGCGUUGUCCGGAAUUAUUGGGCGUAAAGCGUUCGUAGGCGGUGGCUUAAGUCUGAUGUUAAAUACUGGAGCUUAACUCCAGCACGGCAUUGGAAACUGGGUCGCUAGAGUGCAGUAGAGGCAAUGGGAAUUCCCGGUGUAGCGGUGAAAU
RNAcentral lists this ribosomal RNA (659 nucleotides) under Acidobacteria bacterium enrichment culture clone z210. Its description in RNAcentral is "bacterial SSU rRNA". It matches the Rfam family "Bacterial small subunit ribosomal RNA", at positions 1 to 687 of the family's 1533-position model. The record is from RNAcentral. Lineage: Bacteria; Pseudomonadati; Acidobacteriota.